This 86-nucleotide non-coding RNA is filed under the name Fusobacterium varium. RNAcentral's name for it is "SAM-I sequence". It matches the Rfam family "SAM riboswitch aptamer (S box leader)". From Rfam's summary of the family: The SAM riboswitch is found upstream of a number of genes which code for proteins involved in methionine or cysteine biosynthesis in Gram-positive bacteria. The SAM riboswitch acts at the level of transcription termination control. RNAcentral also lists the same sequence under 1 other name. Lineage: Bacteria; Fusobacteriati; Fusobacteriota; Fusobacteriia; Fusobacteriales; Fusobacteriaceae. The record is from RNAcentral.
CAACCAUCAAGAGAAACUGAGGGACUGGCCCUGUGAUGUUUCAGCAACCUGCCUAUGGUGUGGUGCUAAUUCCAGACAGAUGGAUA